GAUGAACGCUAGCGAUAGGCUUAACACAUGCAAGUCGAGGGGCAGCACAAGGUAGCUUGCUAUCUGGGUGGCGACCGGCGCACGGGUGCGUAACGCGUAUGCAACUUGCCCUAUACAGGAGGAUAACCCGUCGAAAGACGGACUAAUACUGCGUAUGCUCACAACUUGGCAUCAAGUGGUGAGGAAAGAAAUUCGGUAUAGGAUAGGCAUGCGUCCCAUUAGCUUGUUGGUGAGGUAACGGCUCACCAAGGCAACGAUGGGUAGGGGAACUGAGAGGUUUAUCCCCCACACCGGUACUGAGACACGGACCAGACUCCUACGGGAGGAAGCAGUGAGGAAUAUUGGUAAAUGGGCGCGAGCCUGAACCAGCCAAGUCGCGUGAAGGAUGACUGUCUUAUGGAUUGUAAACUUCUUUUAGACGGGAAUAACAAGAGUCACGUGUGACUCCCUGCAUGUACCGUAUGAAUAAGCAUCGGCUAACUCCGUG
This 487-nucleotide ribosomal RNA is filed under the name uncultured bacterium. RNAcentral's name for it is "partial 16S ribosomal RNA". It matches the Rfam family "Bacterial small subunit ribosomal RNA", at positions 28 to 507 of the family's 1533-position model. The record is from RNAcentral.